RNAcentral lists this ribosomal RNA (647 nucleotides) under Salmonella enterica. Its description in RNAcentral is "partial 23S ribosomal RNA". It matches the Rfam family "Bacterial large subunit ribosomal RNA", at positions 711 to 1270 of the family's 2925-position model. The record is from RNAcentral. Lineage: Bacteria; Pseudomonadati; Pseudomonadota; Gammaproteobacteria; Enterobacterales; Enterobacteriaceae.
AGACCCGAAACCCGGUGAUCUAGCCAUGGGCAGGUUGAAGGUUGGGUAACACUAACUGGAGGACCGAACCGACUAAUGUUGAAAAAUUAGCGGAUGACCUGUGGCUGGGGGUGAAAGGCCAAUCAAACCGGGAGAUAGCUGGUUCUCCCCGAAAGCUAUUUAGGUAGCGCCUCGUGAAUUCAUCUCCGGGGGUAGAGCACUGUUUCGGCUAGGGGGCCAUCCCGGCUUACCAACCCGAUGCAAACUGCGAAUACCGGAGAAUGUUAUCACGGGAGACACACGGCGGGUGCUAACGUCCGUCGUGAAGAGGGAAACAACCCAGACCGCCAGCUAAGGUCCCAAAGUCAUGGUUAAGUGGGAAACGAUGUGGGAAGGCCCAGACAGCCAGGAUGUUGGCUUAGAAGCAGCCAUCAUUUAAAGAAAGCGUAAUAGCUCACUGGUCGAGUCGGCCUGCGCGGAAGAUGUAACGGGGCUAAACCAUGCACCGAAGCUGCGGCAGCGAACGUAUCACCCAAGACAACUUUACGGAGUUAACGAUUGACGGAGCGAAGCGACGUCAAAGCGUUCAUUAAAGUCGAGUUGGCUUAGGGAUACGUUCGUUGGGUAGGGGAGCGUUCUGUAAGCCUGUGAAGGUGGCCUGUGAGGGU